GACCAGUGUAAGAAGAUGACUAAGAUGACUGGACAUCUGAUAGGAUUCAUGAGGACUAUCUGCGGAAGAGAAAAUCAAAUUUGUCUCCGAAUUAGAAGAGGAAGAAGGUCACUGAAUAAUUUGUGUUUGGUCUUGCCAGAGCUGAGAUUAAUGGGAGAAAACCUUUUUAUCAGCAAUUGGGCAGCUCUCUUAUUUUACAUGGUUUAUGAGGUGACAGGCUGAGCUGCUUGAUGAACCUUUCUUUGGGAAAAGAUGAGUCUUCCCCACCCAUGAUUGUCAAUUUGUGAAGCGGUAAUGACGGAACAAAGAAACAGAGUUUCAAAAUCACCAUGACUCCUUGUUUCUUCUGGUACCUCAUCAAGUACAAGAAAGUAACUCUGAAGACUUCAAAUAUGCAACUAACUUCUGAUUUGAUAUGAAUUCCUUCUGCACUUAAAAAAACAUUCAAAAACACUUAAGUGAAAA
Long non-coding RNA from Monodelphis domestica (gray short-tailed opossum), 465 nucleotides. RefSeq lists it as uncharacterized. NCBI's taxonomy places the organism in Eukaryota, Metazoa, Chordata, Mammalia, Didelphimorphia, Didelphidae. The record is from RefSeq and is a predicted model, not a curated record.